Molecule: ribosomal RNA, 468 nt
Filed under: uncultured bacterium
Lineage: Bacteria
Description: partial 16S ribosomal RNA
Rfam family: Bacterial small subunit ribosomal RNA
Source: RNAcentral
GAUGAACGCUGGCGGCGUGCUUAACACAUGCAAGUCGAACGGAAAGGCCGAAGCUUGCUUCGGUACUCGAGUGGCGAACGGGUGAGUAACACGUGGGUGAUCUGCCCUGUACUUCGGGAUAAGCUUGGGAAUCUGGGUCUAAUACCGGAUAUGACGAUCUCUUGGAUGGGGUUGUGGAAAGCUUUUGCGGUAUGGGAUGAGCUCGCGGCCUAUCAGCUUGUUGGUGGGGUAAUGGCCUACCAAGGCGUCGACGGGUAGCCGGCCUGAGAGGGUGUACGGCCACAUUGGGACUGAGAUACGGCCCAGACUCCUACGGGAGGCAGUAGUGGGGAAUAUUGCACAAUGGGCGCAAGCCUGAUGCAGCGACGCCGCGUGGGGGAUGACGGCCUUCGGGUUGUAAACUCCUUUCGCAAUCGACGAAGCCUUUUGGUGACGGUAGGUUGAGAAGAAGCACCGGCUAACUACGUG